This 722-nucleotide long non-coding RNA is filed under the name Gallus gallus (chicken). RNAcentral's name for it is "long non-coding RNA NONGGAT004203". The record is from RNAcentral. Lineage: Eukaryota; Metazoa; Chordata; Aves; Galliformes; Phasianidae.
GCUGGGCAUCACCUACUGCAUCCCACAGGGGACACUGCGCUCACAUCGGAGGGAAGCGCGCGGCGGAUCCGCAGCCCCUAGGAAGAGAGCGAUUAGAACACUUCAGCCCGGGCACCUCUCCCCCACCCCGACGCAACGACACCUCGAGCACCGUGCGAACCGCACACACCGGGCAGAGCACAGCCUGCUGCUGCGGCCAUCCCUCCUCCUCCUCCCCCCGCUCCGGAGCGGACCUCCGCCCGGGCCGCGCACGCCGACCCCCGUCCCGGGGUCACGGUCCCCCCCAGCGGCAGCCCCGGGGCCGGGGCUGAGUGACAGCGCUGCCCGGCGUGGAGCAGCGCGGAGCCGGCUGCGUCCCGCUCAUCUGCAUGCACGGUGUUUUUCGUUGAGCCUCUUACUCAGCCUGAAGUGUUGGUUUGUUUGGCUGGUUUUUAAAUGCCUACCAUCGCAUCGAAGCGCCCCGAGCCAAACUACAUCCCUCCCGAACUCCCCAAACAGGCACGCAGCAUCCCUUCCUUCCCGUGUUUUAAAGGCGCAGCGGAGCCCGGAGGAGUUCCCGCGGCACCGACAGCGCUCCCGGCUCCGUCCCCAGCGCACCGCGCAUCACACCCCGAACACACACACAUAUACGUACGCUGCUCCGGCCGCGGCGAGCCAAGACGCUCCAGCUCCCGGCGCAGCCCCACCUCCGAGUGGGCAAAGCAGGCGGCUUUAGCAGCGAU